AAUCAACGCUGGCGGCGUGCCUCAGACAUGCAAGUCGAACGAGAAGUCCCCUUCGGGGGAUGGAUAGUGGCGCACGGGUGAGUAACACGUGGGUAAUUUACCUUUGGGUGGGAACAACAGCCGGAAACGGCUGCUAAUACCGCAUAAUGCAGCGGCUCCUCAUGGAGACAGUUGUUAAAGCGGGGGAUCGCAAGACCUCGCGCCUGAAGAGAAGCCCGCGGCAGAUAGCUAGUUGGUAAGGUAAUGGCUUACCAAGGCGACGAUCUGUAACCGGCCUGAGAGGGCGGUCGGUCACACUGACACUGACA
Molecule: ribosomal RNA, 308 nt
Filed under: uncultured bacterium
Lineage: Bacteria
Description: bacterial SSU rRNA
Rfam family: Bacterial small subunit ribosomal RNA
Source: RNAcentral